UCAAGGUGACGGCAGGGCUGGUUCUUUCUGGAGGGCUGUGAGGAAGAACCAGUUCCACGCCUCUCCCCCAGCUUUUGGUAGCUUGCUGGCCAUCAUCUGCAUUCCUUGGCUUACAGAAGCAUCACUCCAUCUCUGCCUUCAUCUUCUCGUGGGUUUCUCCCUGGAUGCAUGUCUGUCUCCAAAUCUCCCUGUUCUAAGAGGACGCUAGUUACACUGGGUUAUCCAGAUAGGAAGAGCAC
Vicugna pacos (alpaca) is the source of this 239-nucleotide non-coding RNA. NCBI's taxonomy places the organism in Eukaryota, Metazoa, Chordata, Mammalia, Artiodactyla, Camelidae. The record is from RefSeq and is a predicted model, not a curated record.